RNAcentral lists this transfer RNA (73 nucleotides) under Gemmatimonadota bacterium. Its description in RNAcentral is "Gemmatimonadetes bacterium tRNA-Ala". It matches the Rfam family "tRNA". Rfam says of the family: Transfer RNA (tRNA) molecules are approximately 80 nucleotides in length. Their secondary structure includes four short double-helical elements and three loops (D, anti-codon, and T loops). Further hydrogen bonds mediate the characteristic L-shaped molecular structure. tRNAs have two regions of fundamental functional importance: the anti-codon, which is responsible for specific mRNA codon recognition, and the 3' end, to which the tRNAs corresponding amino acid is attached (by aminoacyl-tRNA synthetases). tRNAs cope with the degeneracy of the genetic code in two manners: having more than one tRNA (with a specific anti-codon) for a particular amino acid; and 'wobble' base-pairing, i.e. permitting non-standard base-pairing at the 3rd anti-codon position. RNAcentral also lists the same sequence under 3 other names. The record is from RNAcentral. Lineage: Bacteria; Pseudomonadati; Gemmatimonadota.
GGGGCCGUAGCUCAGCUGGGAGAGCACCUGCUUUGCAAGCAGGGGGUCACCGGUUCGAUCCCGGUCGGCUCCA